This 319-nucleotide long non-coding RNA is filed under the name Equus caballus (horse). RNAcentral describes it as "lncRNA (ENSECAG00000048974.1)". Lineage: Eukaryota; Metazoa; Chordata; Mammalia; Perissodactyla; Equidae. The record is from RNAcentral.
AGACCUGCGGAAAGACGCUGCUGGCCGCGCUCAGGAGUCCGGCUUCACCGGGCCAGGAGCUGCUGAAAGGCCUAGAGGACCAGCCAGACUGGGCCUGCGCCUCCCCGCCCAGACCCUCCCAGAGCUCCCCUCUGGCUCAGAACAGAAUCCAACGACCUUCCUGUGACCUCCAGGGAAGUAAAUCAUCUGCCCCUCACCACUGCUCUGGCUCUAUCACCUAGACUCGCUCACUCCACUCCUUGCUAUGCCCCAAACCCCAGGCUGACUAGCACCUCAGGGCCUUUGCACAUGUUUCCUCUCCCUGAAACACUCUUCCUCU